GUAGGAGCUGAGCUUGCUCGCGAUGGCGGUGUGUCAUCCGGCGAAUGUGUUGAUUGAUCCGGCGCCUUCGCGAGCAAGCUCAGCUCCUAC
This 90-nucleotide unclassified non-coding RNA is filed under the name Pseudomonas prosekii. Lineage: Bacteria; Pseudomonadati; Pseudomonadota; Gammaproteobacteria; Pseudomonadales; Pseudomonadaceae. The record is from RNAcentral.